Molecule: long non-coding RNA, 2357 nt
Filed under: Sus scrofa (pig)
Lineage: Eukaryota; Metazoa; Chordata; Mammalia; Artiodactyla; Suidae
Description: lncRNA (ENSSSCG00015064808.1)
Source: RNAcentral
UUUUUUUUUCUUUUUGGCUGUGCCUGAGCCACAGCAGUGACAACCUUGGAUGCUGAACCUGCCAAGCCACCGGGGAACUCCCUUUUGUCCAUUUUUAAAUAAGGUUGUUAAUUUACUUACUGUUGAGUUUUCAGAAUUCUUUGUCUAUUUUGGGGAGUUCCUUGUCUUGGUGCAGCGGAAACAAAUCCAACUAGGAACCAUGAGGUUGUGGGUUCGAUCCCUGGCCUCGCUCAGUGGGCUAAGGACCCGGCAUUGCUAUGAGCUGUGGUGUAGGUCAAAAACAGGGCUCUGAUCUGGCAUUACUGUGGCUGUGGUGCAGUCCAGCAGCAACAGCUCCAAUUAGACCUCUAGCCUGGCAACCUCCAAAUGCCGUGGGUGCAGCCCUAAAAAGACAAAACAAAACAACAACAACAACAAAGAAUUGUCUAUUUUGGGUAACAUUCCUUUAUCAGAUAUGUGUUUCACAAAUAUUGUCUCCCAGUCUAUGGCUUGUCUUCUCAUUUUCUUGAUGAGUUAACUUUUCGUUAUUAAAAUAAUUAUUUGCUGCCUAUACAGCAUGUUGAUAACGAAUAUCAAAAGAAAAAAUAUUUUUGAUUCUAGUUCCCUCAGGAUGACAAUAUACUGAUGACGGUGACAACCGUUCCCAUCUUUGGAAUGCUUGAAGUGUCCCAAGAACUGACAAUCAUCUCAUAUGACCCUGCCACAGACCCUUGUGGGGCAGAUAUUAUCAUACCCAUUAUGCAGAAGCUAAAGAGGAAGCUCAGAGAAAGGAAGUGGCUAGACCCAAACUGCAUACCACUAAGUAGUGGAGCCAGUGUUCAAACCCAGCAGCACCGGCCCCAGAGUCCUUGUUCCAAACCGGGCAAUUGUAGACUAUGCCGUUUUCAUCUUCGGUCUCCCCCAGUCAAGUACAGUCAUAUCCCUAUGUGCCCCCGGACCCUCUCAGAUGUUAUCACCUUUUUUUUCAACUUCGGGAUCUCCCUGGGAGCUAGGUAUCCUCACAGAAGAACAAAUCGAGACUCUGAGAGGUUAAGUGACUUGCCCAAAGUCUCCCAGGUGUGUGAGCUCAGAUAAGCCACUUUCCAAGGAUUUAUGCUCUGUGAGGCCAGACCCCACCAGCCAAUUCUUCCCUCUACUUUGAGUGGCCCCAGAAAAAUCAGUCCUGGGCUGGACUGCCGCUGUCUUGCUCUCCUCCCUCCCUCUGCCCAUCCUUCUGUGGCUUCUAGAGGGAUCAUUCUAAAUUGUCAACCAAAUCAUGGCCCCUCCCCCGUGAUGGGCAUCCCGUGGCUUCCAUCUGUCCUCAGGAGGACUCCCAAACUCCCUGGCAUGGCAUGCCAGGCUCCCGGCAUCCUACCUCUUCUGCCUCUGCAGCCUCGCCCACAGCCUCCACCCAUGUCCUCAGCUAAGGCACCAUCUGCUCCUACUCUUCCUUGAGCCUCUAGGACUUGAUCCACACUGCUCUUUUGCCUGGUACACCUUCCCUCCUCCUGCACCCCUGACUCCACCUGAGCCCGGAAGAGGCAGAGAUGGCAGUGGACGGGGUCCCAAGAGGUGGGCCUUGGGAUCUACUUGGAAGGGGGCACCCUCAUGAUUGAUGUCCUGAUGGAGCUUUUGUUUGGGGGAAAAUCCCCCAGGCCCUAUCCUCAAAGGCAGCCUUGCGAAUGGUCCGUGGGAGGUGGGAGAUUCCAGGUCUGCUUCUUUCCCAGGUAGGCUGGUGAUGCUGGGGCCACCCCAGAAGUGGAAAGCACCUGCACACACCCCUUCCCUGGCCCGCAAGGGCCCCAGUCCCAGUUCCGCUUGGCGUUACCAUCCAUGGCAUGGUGAUGGUAGCUUCCUACGCCACGCCCCAGAGGCUCACCUCCCAGUCACCCGGCCCCACAUUCCAGUUAAAGAGGAAGGGUGCAGAACGGGAAGUGGAACUCCUGCCCUAGCCACCCCACAGUCUACUGGGAGCUGGGCAGGCAGGGGUGUGGGGAGAAAGAGCAGAGGAAGCGGCUUCUCUCAGCGUUAUUGGAAGCCACGAGACACCUCCAAAUGCCCCCCUCCUUGAUAUGUCUGCAAAAUCUCUGCUUCGCUGCAUUUAAUUCAGCAUUUAACGAGCCCCUACUGCGUGAUUACCCACAGGGCUAGGUGUGGUUUGCAUAUAAGAUCACAAGUCCAGCCUUUGGGGGAAAUAGCACUGGCAUCUGACCAAGAGAUCUGGGUAGUUGAGCCCCGUUCUGCAGUUAUUAGCUAGCAGGCCACGGGCACUCCAGGAAACCUUCUAGGCCUCUAGUGGGCCAUCUUUCGAAUGGGGACUGUGGUAUCUAUCCAAGAGAGCUGCAAGGGAGCAGGAAUGGGAAAACGACCUCAUGCAC